UACAACAGGUGGAGUAGACCUUACAGUGAAAUGCUGAAUACAACAGGUGGAGUAGACCUUACAGUGAAAUGCUGAAUACAACAGGUGUAGUAGACCUCACAGUGAAAUGCUGAAUACAACAGGUGUAGUAGACCUUACAGUGAAAUGCUGAAUACAACAGGUGUAGGUAGACCUCACAGUGAAAUGCUGAAUACAACAGGUGUAGUAGACCUUACAGUGAAAUGCUGAAUACAACAGGUGGAGUAGACCUCACAGUGAAAUGCUGACUACAACAGGUGUAGUAGACCUCACAGUGAAAUGCUGAAUACAACAGGUGUAGGUAGACCUCACAGUGAAAUGCUGAAUACAACAGGUGUAGUAGACCUCACAGUGAAAUGCUGAAUACAACAGGUGUAGGUAGACCUUACAGUGAAAUGCUGAAUACAACAGGUGUAGUAGACCUUACAGUGAAAUGCUGAAUACAACAGGUGUAGUAGACCUUACAGUGAAAUGCUGAAUACAACAGGUGUAGUAAACCUUACAGUGAAAUGCUGAAUACAACAGGUGGAGUAGACCUUACAGUGAAAUGCUGAAUACAACAGGUGUAGUAGACCUUACAGUGAAAUGCUGAAUACAACAGGUGUAGUAGACCUUACAGUGAAAUGCUGAAUACAACAGGUGUAGUAGACCUUACAGUGAAAUGCUGAAUACAACAGGUGUAGUAGACCUUACAGUGAAAUGCUGAAUACAACAGGUGUAGUAG
This is a long non-coding RNA of Oncorhynchus keta (chum salmon), 742 nucleotides long. RefSeq lists it as uncharacterized. Lineage: Eukaryota; Metazoa; Chordata; Actinopteri; Salmoniformes; Salmonidae. The transcript has 3 exons. The record is from RefSeq and is a predicted model, not a curated record.